AUCUGGCUCUUUCACGAGGGUCCGAGUUGUAAUUUUGAGAACUGUUUUCUGUGCUGGACCAUUUCUAAGUCUGUUGGAAAACAGCAUCAUAGAGGGUGAUAAUCCCGUUUGUGAUAUGGACUACCAGGGCUAUAUGAUACAGUUUCUAAGAGUCGAGUUGUUUGGGAAUGCAGCUCAAAGUGGGUGGUAAAUUCCAUCUAAGGCUAAAUAUAGGUGAGAGACCGAUAGCAUACAAGUACCGUGAGGGAAAGAUGAAAAGAACUUUGGAAAGAGAGUUAACAGUACGUGAAAUUGUUGUAAAGGAAACAUUUAAAUUUGUCGUUGUGCUUGUCAGUUCAGCCCUCUUAUCAGGGUGUAUUCUGGCAAAUCACGGACCAACAUCAGUUUUUGAGUGCUGGAUAAGGGUCUUGGGAAUGUAGCAGUCUAGGCUGUGUUAUAGCCCGGGAUUUAGAUACAGUGCUUAGGACUGAGAACAAAUCGCAGCAAGC
This 488-nucleotide ribosomal RNA is filed under the name Phragmidium rosae-rugosae. Its description in RNAcentral is "partial large subunit ribosomal RNA". It matches the Rfam family "Eukaryotic large subunit ribosomal RNA", at positions 120 to 608 of the family's 3401-position model. The record is from RNAcentral. Lineage: Eukaryota; Fungi; Basidiomycota; Pucciniomycetes; Pucciniales; Phragmidiaceae.